GUGAUCGAAAGCUGAAAAGCACUUUGGAAAGAGAGUCAAACAGCACGUGAAAUUGUUGAAAGGGAAGCGCUUGCAGCCAGACUUGCUUGCAG
RNAcentral lists this ribosomal RNA (92 nucleotides) under Amorphochlora amoebiformis. RNAcentral describes it as "partial Eukaryotic large subunit ribosomal RNA". It matches the Rfam family "Eukaryotic large subunit ribosomal RNA", at positions 353 to 444 of the family's 3401-position model. The record is from RNAcentral. Lineage: Eukaryota; Cercozoa; Chlorarachniophyceae.